AUUGGAAUAAUAAGGAUACUCGAG
This 24-nucleotide non-coding RNA is filed under the name Gossypium hirsutum (cotton). Lineage: Eukaryota; Viridiplantae; Streptophyta; Magnoliopsida; Malvales; Malvaceae. The record is from RNAcentral.